RNAcentral lists this ribosomal RNA (728 nucleotides) under Staphylea bumalda. Its description in RNAcentral is "eukaryotic LSU rRNA". The stretch from base 300 to 455 matches the Rfam family "5.8S ribosomal RNA". Lineage: Eukaryota; Viridiplantae; Streptophyta; Magnoliopsida; Crossosomatales; Staphyleaceae. The record is from RNAcentral.
UCGUAGGUGAACCUGCGGAAGGAUCACUGUCGAAACCUGCCUAGCAGAAUGACCUGUGAAUUUGUGAACGUUCCGGGGGGGCGAGGGUUGUGCUUGCGCAAUUGUCGUCCCCCCCUCGUUGGGAAGAAUGUGCGUGCCCCAUUUCCCCUUGUGGGAGUGUGGUUCGUACAAGCUCUCCUCGACCGAACAACGAACCCCGGGGUGAAAUCGCCCCAAGGAAAUUCAAAUAUAGACCUAGCUUCCUUUGUCCCGGAAACGGUGUGCGUGGGAAGUGGUGUUGUCUUUUGUAAACCAAUAACGACUCUCGGCAACGGAUAUCUCGGCUCUCGCAUCGAUGAAGAACGUAGCGAAAUGCGAUACUUGGUGUGAAUUGCAGAAUCCCGUGAACCAUCGGGUCUUUGAACGCAAGUUGCGCCCAAAGCCAUUAGGCCGAGGGCACGUCUGCCUGGGCGUCACACAACGUCGCCCCCCAAACACACAUAGUGUGAUAGGAGGGGCGGAUAUUGGCCUCCCGUGUGCAACAAUGCUUGUGGUUGGCCGAAAAGUGAGUCCACGGCGAUGAACGUCACGAUCAGCGGUGGUUGCGAGACCUUCCGAAUCCAAUCGUACGCGUUUGUCGUCUAAUGGAAGCUCUUUGACCCUAGUGCAUUGUCUUGACGAUGCUUUUGUAGCGACCCCAGGUCAGGCGGGGCUACCCGCUGAGUUUAAGCAUAUCAAUAAGCGGAGGA